AUCUUUUCUCGUUAGUUUUUGAAGUAUGGCCUGCCCGCUGACUUUGAUGUUGAAGGGCCGCGGUAUUUUGACCGUGCAAAGGUAGCAUAGUCAUUAGUUCUUUAAUUGUGAUCUGGUAUGAAUGGCUUGACGAGGCAUGGGCUGUCUUAAUUUUGAAUUGUUUAUUGAAUUUGGUCUUUGAGUUAAAAUUCUUAGAUGUUUUUAUGGGACGAGAAGACCCUAUAGAGUUUGACAUUUAUAUGGUCUCUUUUCGUUUGUGAGGGUUCACUGGGCCAUUUAGUAUGUUUUGUUGGGGUGAUGGGAGGGAUAUAAUUUAACCCCUCCUUUGUGUUGUUAUAUUUAUUUAUAUUUGUUUGAUCCAUUUAUUUUGAUUGUAAGAUUAAAUUACCU
RNAcentral lists this ribosomal RNA (390 nucleotides) under Reticulitermes hageni (light southeastern subterranean termite). RNAcentral's name for it is "partial 16S ribosomal RNA". The record is from RNAcentral. Lineage: Eukaryota; Metazoa; Arthropoda; Insecta; Blattodea; Rhinotermitidae.